This 444-nucleotide ribosomal RNA is filed under the name uncultured bacterium. RNAcentral's name for it is "bacterial SSU rRNA". It matches the Rfam family "Bacterial small subunit ribosomal RNA", at positions 30 to 490 of the family's 1533-position model. The record is from RNAcentral.
AUUGAACGCUGGCGGCAUGCCUUACACAUGCAAGUCGAACGGCAGCACGGGAGCAAUCCUGGUGGCGAGUGGCGAACGGGUGAGUAAUAUAUCGGAACGUGCCCAGUCGUGGGGAUAACGUAGCGAAAGCUACGCUAAUACCGCAUACGAUCUAAGGAUGAAAGCGGGGGACUCGCAAGAGCCUCGCGCGAUUGGAGCGGCCGAUAUCAGAUUAGGUAGUUGGUGGGGUAAAGGCUCACCAAGCCAACGAUCUGUAGCUGGUCUGAGAGGAUGAUCAGCCACACUGGGACUGAGACACGGCCCAGACUCCUACGGGAGGCAGCAGUGGGGGAAUAUUGGACAAUGGGCGAAAGCCUGAUCCAGCAAUGCCGCGUGAGUGAUGAAGGCCUUAGGGUUGUAAAGCUCUUUUACCCGAGAUGAUAAUGACAGUAUCGGGAGAAUAAG